This 512-nucleotide ribosomal RNA is filed under the name uncultured bacterium. RNAcentral describes it as "partial 16S ribosomal RNA". It matches the Rfam family "Bacterial small subunit ribosomal RNA", at positions 28 to 523 of the family's 1533-position model. The record is from RNAcentral.
GACGAACGCUGGCGGCGUGCCUAAUACAUGCAAGUCGAGCGAAUCAAUAGGAGCUUGCUCCUGUUGAUUAGCGGCGGACGGGUGAGUAACACGUGGGCAACCUGCCUGUAAGACUGGGAUAACACCGGGAAACCGGUGCUAAUACCGGAUAAUCCUUUUCCUCUCAUGAGGGAAAGCUGAAAGUCGGUUUCGGCUGACACUUACAGAUGGGCCCGCGGCGCAUUAGCUAGUUGGGGAGGUAACGGCUCACCAAGGCGACGAUGCGUAGCCGGCCUGAGAGGGUGAUCGGCCACACUGGGACUGAGACACGGCCCAGACUCCUACGGGAGGCAGCAGUAGGGAAUCUUCCACAAUGGACGAAAGUCUGAUGGAGCAACGCCGCGUGAGCGAUGAAGGCCUUCGGGUCGUAAAGCUCUGUUGUUAGGGAAGAACAAGUACCGGAGUAACUGCCGGUACCUUGACGGUACCUAACCAGAAAGCCACGGCUAACUACGUGCCAGCAGCCGCCGUAA